Haliotis rubra (blacklip abalone) is the source of this 118-nucleotide long non-coding RNA. RefSeq lists it as uncharacterized. The record is from RefSeq and is a predicted model, not a curated record. Lineage: Eukaryota; Metazoa; Mollusca; Gastropoda; Lepetellida; Haliotidae. The transcript is spliced from 3 exons.
UCCAUGUCUGGAGUAGAUAGAUUUAUUUUCAAGAAAUUAUUAUAAUAGAGUAUUUAUCUUCUUCGCUUAUUUAGAACUUUAUUUAAGUGGCGUUUGUAUUUCAGAUACAUUUAAUAAU